Molecule: RNA transcript, 1565 nt
Organism: Zea mays
Lineage: Eukaryota; Viridiplantae; Streptophyta; Magnoliopsida; Poales; Poaceae
Exons: 10
Source: RefSeq, marked validated
ACAAGAUAAGAUAAGCCCAGGACAAGCUAUCACCAAACGGGAGGGCGAGGGGCAACAGGACACACACACUGACCUAGCACCAGCUCGAUCUCACAGGAUGGUUACGCUAUGCCAUCCGAUUCGGAUCCGAGCAAGCGGGAGCACCGCGAGCUGGCGGAGGAGAAAUGCGGCGGCGGCGGCGAAGGUCCUCUGCUCCGUGCAGCAAAUGCCGCCGCCGCCGCCGGCGGCCACGGCUGCCCAGAGCACGAUCAAGGUCGUUAUCGUUGGGGCAACGAAAGAGAUCGGGAGGACGGCCGUCGUUGCGGUGAGCAAGGCCAGGGGAAUGGAGCUCGCGGGCGCGAUCGACUCGCAGUGCAUUGGCGAGGACGCGGGACAGAUAAGUGGCAUGGACGAGCCGCUGGAGAUCCCUGUGCUGAACGACCUCACCAUGGUUCUGGGCUCCAUAGCGCAGUCGAGAGCAACCGGCGUGGUGGUCGACUUCAGCGAGCCUUCAGCUGUUUACGACAAUGUCAAGCAGGCAGCGGCGUUUGGUCUGAGCAGCGUCGUCUACGUUCCGAAAAUCGAGCUAGAGACAGUGACUGAACUGUCAGCGUUCUGCGAGAAGGCAAGCGUGGGCUGCUUGGUUGCGCCAACGCUGUCGAUUGGGUCCGUGCUCCUUCAGCAAGCGGCUAUACAGGCCUCGUUCCACUACAGCAACGUUGAGAUUGUGGAAUCGAGACCAAACCCAUCGGAUCUUCCAUCGCAAGAUGCAAUCCAGAUUGCAAACAACAUAUCAGACCUUGGUCAGAUAUACAACAGGGAAGAUAUGGAUUCCAGCAGUCCAAGGCCAGCUGCUCGGGGAAGACGGAGUGCGCGUGCACAGCAUGGUUCUCCCUGGUCUCGUCUCCAGCACGUCGAUCAACUUCUCUGGCCCAGGAGAGAUGUACACCUUACGGCAUGACGUUGCGAAUGUUCAGUGCCUGAUGCCAGGACUGAUCCUGGCGAUACGGAAGGUGGUGCGGUUCAAGAACUUGAUUUAUGGGCUAGAGAAGUUCUUGUAGUGAACAACAAACAACCAAUGCAAAACAUCGACAGGCAACAGGCAAGGCAGAUAUCAUCUGACGUCGCAACAACCAAAACGACAGAGAUUUGGAAAAUAAAGGCUGCACAGAAGACGUCUGGGGUUUUGUGUGCACCAGGCUGCGCAGAGAACGUCUGUCAUUUUGUGUGCACCACUACGGCACUACCUGCUGAGCGCGAUUUUUAUAAAAAAGGCAUGGGAGGGAGAUCAUACACAGGAAAAGUCACGAAGGAAAAAGGGGUCACAUGGACAUACAGGUAUUGGUAGCAUAACCAAAACAAUGGAUCUGAUUCUGCGAUUCGGUUCCAUCGGCAUAUGCUUGUUCAGAAGAAAGUUGCAUCGGGACUUGAAGAAAAGGAGGGUCUAGUUUGCGUUUUGUAACCGAGACUGCGUAAUUCGGCAUGCGUAUGGCAAUCCAAAUUGCGCCAGACUAAUCCAGAUUCAAUUUUAUAAAAUGGAUAAAACAUAAAAAAGACAUAUAACAUUCCUCUCCCCCCGUUUCUUA